Molecule: ribosomal RNA, 108 nt
Filed under: Calicophoron daubneyi
Lineage: Eukaryota; Metazoa; Platyhelminthes; Trematoda; Plagiorchiida; Paramphistomidae
Also listed under: 1 other name
Description: partial 5.8S ribosomal RNA
Rfam family: 5.8S ribosomal RNA
About the family: 5.8S ribosomal RNA (5.8S rRNA) is a component of the large subunit of the eukaryotic ribosome.
Source: RNAcentral
CCAACUGUGUGAAUUAAUGUGAACUGCAUACUGCUUUGAACAUCGACAUCUUGAACGCACAUUGCGGCCACGGGUUUUCCUGUGGCCACGCCUGUCCGAGGGUCGGCU